This is a long non-coding RNA of Scophthalmus maximus (turbot), 2280 nucleotides long. RefSeq lists it as uncharacterized. The record is from RefSeq and is a predicted model, not a curated record. Lineage: Eukaryota; Metazoa; Chordata; Actinopteri; Pleuronectiformes; Scophthalmidae. The transcript is spliced from 3 exons.
GCAAGAUGCCUCAUUCCAUAGGUCCAUGACAGAAAAUAACACAAACGUGUUGUCACCACUUUGUAGGAGAUAAUGUGGUGUAUGAUAUAAUACAGAAGAGCAGAAGUGGAGGAAAAUGUUCAGGCCAGUUAAAGUAGAAAUAAUUUAAAAACAAGUUCUUCAUCAUCAGAAAAUAUUCUGUUGCAAAAGUACAAGAUUUCACUCGCAGCUUGUUUAUGUGCUGCUCUUCCUGUCGGGCGUAACCAUGAUGGCAACCAUCCAAAAGGAGCAUCAGGAAAUGCCAAAAGAAGUUAUGAAAGCCGGUUGUGGAAGGAGCUGUUGCUGCUGAUACAGGAAGUGAGACCCCACCAUGUCACAGAUGAUCCUCUGCUGGGAAUCGACACCACUCCGCCUUCAGUCUCCAUCAAUGAACCUGGACAGGACACAUAUCGGACAACUUCUCCUCCACCCACUGUCAAAAAACCAGGGCAAGAAACACACCUGUGUCGCCCUGUUCUUCUCCCACCUCAGGUAUACUACCUACCUCUUAUACCCUAUUAUGUUCUCUCACCUAAUCCAGUAAGUGGAAGUUUUUACAUUCAUGGACAAGGUGCAGAUGACGCCAGGUCCACACACAGAGAGCGUGAGGUUCUUCAUCACUCAGCCUCUGCAGCAUCUGGCUUCCUCCAAAUUUAAGUGGGAAAAACCAGUGAGAAAGUUUCAUCAAAGUGGGUUCAAACCAAAGGUUUGCACUCAAGCUGCAUCAAGUGAAGCUUCAUCUGAACAGCACAGUGAGUGAAGAGAUGCUGGAGGUGCCACUGCACAGAAAUGAUUCAGUGCCUUACUAACAUGCAUUGGUCCAGAUUGUAAAUGUAUGUCUUAAAGAUUGCAGGUUGAGACAAGGUGUCUGCAUUGUUCACCAAAUUAAACUAAAAACUUGUAAAGAGCUUUUUAAAGCCACAGAACAUGCAAUUCCGAAACACCUAUUUUCACAGAAUGAUGGAUGAUGGAAGGACUAGAGUUACUUAUCAAAACAGAUUACUUCUGUCAAUAUUACUAAUCAAAAACUCCAUAAGACACCUGACACCCCACAACCACAUAGAAAAAUGUUCAUACGCAACAAAUUUUUUGUGUACAUAACUUUUCAUGACACUGCGACACUUUUUUCCAGCUUAAUGGAGUUUUUUUUUUAAUUGUCUUCAGUCUUUAACAGAGACACACCACAGUAGGAAGUUCUCUCCUCUUCUACCUGUGUCGUCUGUUUUAAGCUUGUCAACCUGUUAACAACUGUCACACAGAAGAUGUCCUACGGAGUAACCUGUAAACAGGACAAACAUAUUAGUGGUGCUGAUAUCAGUAGUUUAUUGUAUGUUAAGUCCAACACAUUCAAAUUGGAAAGGGGGGGGGGACUAAAAUAAAAAAAACUUAACAAAACUAAACAAAAAUAUUCUGCACCUGCAACAGUUUUGUAAUAGCAACAAGGGGGGACACAGUAAAAAUGAAGAUGGCAGCCAACGGUUUACCACACCUGCUAAAGCCAAGAAGGUUCUUCUAUUUCCAUUUUAAAAAAAGAAAAAAGGGCUGGAAUGAUUCACAAUGAGGAGCCACUCUACUGCAUUUUCAACCACAGGAAAAAAUAAAUGUACAGCUUCUUUCUCUCUUUCUUCUGCUUUCUUCUGAGGAUCCUUUUCAGUUGGGGGGGGUCAUCGGACAAAAUCAGUGAAAAAAAAAGAACUAUCCAACCACAAACGUAAUAUGCUUUUUUCCCACCACUGCGAUGUAAAAGCACAAAAUCGGUCUGAAAGCAUGAUGGCUCUUCCUCACCACUCUCAUACUGAAGGUAUGAAUCGCAAAUCAAGUGCCCAUGUUAAGCAAUUGCUUGACAAACAUUUGGGGUAGAGGCACCAAUGAGGAGGAUCUGUUAAAAACACUCGUUUGGCUGUAGUUUUUCUUGAAUUUUGUGUCAAAGGCUGAUGGCAACAAAGAGUUUCUCUAUUGAAAAUAUUUCAUCUUCCAUUAUAAGGGUCAGCAGCCAAAAACUACAUGAAUAUGCUAUGUCUGUAAAGCAAUUUUUGUGUGAGAGAGCAAAGAUUAUUUCAUGUUUUUUUUUCCAUUUCCAGAUCAGACAUUUGGAGAGAGGUUGUGUUCAAACUGAGAUUGUCCCAGGUAUGUUGGAAAUAGUGCAAUGCCACCUGACAAGGAAGACCUCAUAAGGAUAUUUAUCCAGAAAAUGCUACAUCAAAUUUCACUUCCCAAUUUCAGUGCAAGAUAACUAUGAAAAUAAAAAACAUCUUUGUGUCA